UACGUAGGGGGCAAGCGUUGUCCGGAAUCAUUGGGCGUAAAGCGCGUGUAGGCGGCCCGGUAAGUCCGCUGUGAAAGUCGAGGGCUCAACCCUAGAAAGCCGGUGGAUACUGUCGGGCUAGAGUGCGGAAGAGGCGAGUGGAAUUCCUGGUGUAGCGGUGAAAUGCGCAGAUAUCAGGAGGAACACCGAUUGCGAAGGCAGCUCGCUGGGACGCUACUGACGCUGAGACGCGAAAGCGUGGGGAGCAAACAGG
RNAcentral lists this ribosomal RNA (253 nucleotides) under uncultured bacterium. RNAcentral describes it as "partial 16S ribosomal RNA". It matches the Rfam family "Bacterial small subunit ribosomal RNA", at positions 524 to 776 of the family's 1533-position model. The record is from RNAcentral.